Molecule: ribosomal RNA, 465 nt
Filed under: uncultured bacterium
Lineage: Bacteria
Description: partial 16S ribosomal RNA
Rfam family: Bacterial small subunit ribosomal RNA
Source: RNAcentral
CCUACGGGUGGCAGCAGUGGGGAAUAUUGCGCAAUGGGCGAAAGCCUGACGCAGCGACGCCGCGUGAGGGAUGAAGGUCUUCGGAUCGUAAACCUCUGUCAGCAGGGAAGAACGGUCACUGUGCUAAGCAGCAGUGAAUUGACGGUACCUGCAAAGGAAGCACCGGCUAACUCCGUGCCAGCAGCCGAGGUAAUACGGAGGGUGCGAGCGUUAAUCGGAAUUACUGGGCGUAAAGCGCUCGUAGGCGGUAUGUCAAGUCAAGGGUGAAAUCCCCGCGCUCAACGUGGGAACUGCCUUUGAAACUGGCAAACUGGAGUGUGUGAGAGGAUAGUGGAAUUCCCGGUGUAGGCGUGAACUCCGUAGAUAUCUGGAGGAACAUCAGUGGCGAAGGCGACUCUCUGGCACAUAACUGACGCUGAGGAGCGAAAGCGUGGGUAGCAAACAGGAUUAGAUACCCCGGUAGUC